AACGUAGGAACCGAGCGUUAUCCGAAUUCACUGGGCGUAAAGCGCAUGCAGGCGGUACGUUAAGUUGGAUGUGAAAGCUCCCGGCUCAACUGGGAGAGGACGUACAAAACUGGCGAACUAGAGGGCGGCAGAGGGAGGUGGAAUUCCCGGUGUAGUGGUGAAAUGCGUAGAUAUCGGGAGGAACACCAGAGGCGAAGGCGGCCUCCUGGGCCGCGCCUGACGCUAAGAUGCGAAAGCUAGGGGAGCAAACGGGAUUAGAUACCCCUGUA
RNAcentral lists this ribosomal RNA (269 nucleotides) under uncultured prokaryote. RNAcentral's name for it is "partial 16S ribosomal RNA". It matches the Rfam family "Bacterial small subunit ribosomal RNA", at positions 524 to 792 of the family's 1533-position model. The record is from RNAcentral.